This is a long non-coding RNA of Triticum aestivum (bread wheat), 5637 nucleotides long. RefSeq lists it as uncharacterized. The record is from RefSeq and is a predicted model, not a curated record. The transcript has 4 exons. Lineage: Eukaryota; Viridiplantae; Streptophyta; Magnoliopsida; Poales; Poaceae.
UUGCCUCGUGGCUUCUGUCGAUUCGUGGCUUCGUCCCCAAUCGGUGAGGAGGGCGAUGAUUGGGUGAGAACCCUAGCAUCCACUCCCCAUCGCUGUUCCUCUCUUGCGGCCUGCCUCACUACUGCUACUCUCACCGCCGAGCUCGCCCGCCGCCGCCGCCGCCGCAUCAUCUUCUCCUCCUUGGGAACCCUAGAGCGUCUACUCUCCUGGCUGUUCGUAUCUUGGCUCGCCACAAAAAAUGGGCAAGGGUGGGUAGGACGAGGCCAUGGCUAGGGUUUCGGGCUGGGCAUCGCCUUCGUCGCCGGCGCGGACCCGGUGGACUCCGGCGGCUCCUCUCCGUCUCCUUUUCCGUCCCCACGCGCGGCUCCGCUUCCCGCUGGCCAUGGGGUGCAGCCUUACAGGGGCGCAUCGGGCUGGGUAUCCUCUGUUUCUGAGUGCAUGGGGCGGUUUGAGAUGGCUGCUACUCCCUACAAAUUGCUCCCUACACUGCUUGAUGUUACUAUUCCUCCAUCCAUAGUGAGAGAUGUGUUGUUGCUGCUGCUGUAGGUUGACAUUGUGUGCUCUUGGUGCUGUAGAUUUGAUUAUCUAUAGCUUUUUAGGCUGUUGCUGCUACCUCUGUUGUAUGCUUUGUAUGUUGCUGUUGUUAUUGAUUAUUUGUUUCUAAUAGUCUAAUUGGAGCACACACCGAUGGCUCUGUUUUCAAUUUGCAGAUUUGUCCCCAUCAAGUAAAACACUCUACAUCAGUGUAAUUGCAGCAAGAUUAGACAAUAGUUUGCUCCUUAUCAAUGCUUCACAUAUUGCUUGUGUUUAGGGCACUGCAUUGUUAGGUUCUUGGGAGUAUGGGAUUGUCUAUUUCUCUCUUAUGUACUAUCUAUUCUCGGUGUUGAACAAUGUUUUGGUAUAUGUUCAUCUACUAAUUACCAAAUUGUUUCCUUUCUCAGUGUUCUCCAGUGAUGGAAGGGGUUCUAAUGUUUUUCCAGUCAGGAUGAAAAUAAACUUCCAAAAAUAUGAACCAGGUGACAAUGAUUUUCUUGCAGUAAAUCUCCCUUAUUUGCUACGGUACUUUCGAUGGUUCAGCUACUAACUAAUUAGAUAAUAUCUAUUGUUGAUUUCUUAUUCUAUAAAAGUGCCUUGAGAUGCUCUUGAAAUAACCACAAUCCCAUUGUUUGUCAUAUCAUAAUAUAACAAACUGUCAUAUAUGAAGUUUUUCAUGAUACAAACAUAUAUUUGUUUGUUUGUAGGGCUCAGAUUUUAAAUUUCCAGUGGGUUGCUGACUAUUUCAGUUUUUUCAGCAAUUUGGACGCUCUUGACUGAUAUUGCUAUUAAGCUAUGAAGCAAAGAUAAUUGUUGGUCUCUACAGGAUGAGCCACCAACAUGAAUAAAUCCUUGCAUGUUCUUUUUACCCUUGAAUCAGUUUGCAUUUCCCCCUUAUUGUUGGUACAUUGCUCUGCAACAUUUUAUUCCUAUUAUACCAUGGCUACUUUAGUUGUAAGAGAUGCAUGCUUACAAAGUUUAAUUAUAUAUGUUCCGUAAAUAGGUUGCUUUCUAAAACACGUGCUGCAUAUACAAGGUUGAUCUCCAGGUCUAGCCAUGAGUCACUUUGUUGAUAGGUGUAUGCUUUUACGUAUUUUUAAAAUGAAAAUAGUCAUGGCGAAGUGUCUAAUCUUAGGUAUUUACAUACGGUUGAACCAUCGAUAUGAGAACUUUUUUGUAUUGCUUUCUUUUAGCUCUGUCCAUGGUGCUCUCAUGGAUGUAUUUAUACCUUUGCACAGCGGUGACACCUCUCCACGUAUACAUGUCCAAAAAUAUAUUUUAUGGAAAAUUGGAGAUCCGGUUGAAUCUGACCAAGUAAUCACUUUUCUCGCAGACUCUGCCUCUAUCCCAGUAAUUCUUUAACAAGUAUUCUUCUUCUUUUCUCAACCUCUUGCAUGCAAUUUCAGGUCACUCCAUCUAUCCGUGGAAUAUACAUGUUUGUAGCAUAUUUUGUGAUAUUUUGAACUUUUUUUUUCCAAGAUUAUUAUUGUACAUUUGUCUGUUUAACUUCCUGGAUGGCCUAAUUAUGAGCUUGCGGAUGCUCAAGAAAUCUCAAAGAUCUGUUUGGUGGUCUACAAACGUGUUUCUGUUUUUACAGUGAUAGACAAACUUUUAAUCGUGCCGGCCAAGUAUAGUUCUAGGAUCAAUGCUUAUAGUUUGUUGUCAACUACUUCCACUGAUGGAUGAUAUAUUUAUAUAGAUUGUGAGCAUUUUGGCAGGCCCAUCGCUCAGUAAAUAUACCAUAGACUGGACUGGUGGAUUGAGUAUAGUUGAUCAAUACAUAUUCUGUUAGACAUAUGUAUGUUUUUUAAAUCGGCCAUGUGACUGCUUGCUACCGGCUUGAAUUGACCCACUCCUACAUAUGAAAUUGUAAUUUGUUGACACACACUUAAAUAAGCAACCACAAUCUGUCCUAAAGGUGACAACCCUAUCUGUUUAGUGGAGUAACGGUUGAUGAUAUCUCUGUUUUGCUGAAAAGUCGCAUGUAAAAAUAAUGUUCAAUAACCAAUACCCGACCCCUGUCGAUUUAUUUCCAGUGGCCAUUUCCUAAAAUUCCAGGAGGGAGAGGGCGCUCUUCCAUCCACGCUGCUACGAAAGUGGAAUUAGGCUAUCGAAACUUGCUUUAUGGAGUAGUAUCAUCACGAAACCUUGCCUUUUCCUAUUCUAUUCGAUUGCUUACCCUGUUUCUGUGACAAAGGCCUGUAAUAGAUAUGAUUAGGCACAUAUUGAGUGUCCAAUAUCAUAAAUAUUGAGCAUACAAUUUCAAUUUCAACUUAAACAUACAAUCUGCUCUUUCUUCUUAAUAUAUAGAGGAGGGUAAUCAUAUAUUGUCUGUUUGAUAUUUGCAUGUAGUUAUUAUUUCAUAAAGGCCUAGCUAUGUUUGACCUUCUGUUAUAUCUGGACAUCUUGCUUCUAAAUUUCAUUCCAGAGAUAUGCUAAUAUUUCAUUUAGAUUGGUUGUCUUAGGAAAUGAUAAAAUGCAUUCUCUGUUUGUUCUAUCUUUCCCUGUUUUUGCCAUCUUCAGUAUUUGUUGUUUGUUCAUAAGUGUAACUUUUUGUCGUCGUUAGAGAGAGAGAGAGUGAUGUGAUGAGAGAUGAUGAGAGAGAGAGAGCGAUGUGAUGAGAGAUGAUCAUGUUUACAUUUUACAGCAAAAAAUGUUUCUUUGUUGAUCGGUUUUGCUCGAGGUAAAAAAUUCUACCUCCCUUUUUUGUUUCCAAUUAAGUCAUCUUUGCAAAUUUAUGUUGUGCAUGUACACACGUUUUUUUUUAAACUGCAUGAGAAAAGUUACCAGUAGAUAAGUUACAGAUCUGCCAUGAAUCCUAUUGUCCUUGCAGACCUACAUCAGCAAACUUUCGAUUACGUAUAUUCUUAUUGUUUGUUCAGUUGGCAUACUGCAUUGGUUAGGUUAUAGUCCAUGUGUGUAAGUCUUGAUAGCAUGAGCUUAUGUUGAGGGCACUUUGAUCAGGUGGCACUGCACACCUCAAAUCACGGCAAGUUUGUUCUUCACCUAUACAGUACUGUCACAGUCACCCGGCCAGAACUUGAAAAUUGAACCAGAGAGUAGUACUUUCUUAGGGAGCUAGGUCAAUGUUGUAUAAAAGGAGAUUUAUGAGAUUUCAGUCUUGAAAAAUUUAAAGGUUUAUCUAUAUCUGCUGCAAGGCUUGGAUUGCCAUAUAAGGCCGAAUUCAGCAUGUAAGAAAGCAGAAUAAUUCAUUGAUAGUGUCACGGUUUGAUCCAGCUCGAUGGCAAGCUCCUCUGCCCUCCCAGAGCCCGGUGAUGAUUUGUACGGUCAGUCCUCCCCGCACGAUGGUGGGCGAAGGAGGUGCACGUCUCCGACGAGUUUGUCGUGCCUCCCUCUGGUUCCGUGAUGGCCGACGGCGAGGUUGAUGGUGGAGCUGCGAACCAAAGUUGGAGCAUACCCUUUCGUUGGUGCUGUCAUUCUCUCCUCCACGACCGUUGUUGUCACGAGCCCAAGUCGCUUGGUUGGAUAUCAACGGCGUUGGUGGACCUAAUAGAAAUUGGAUGCUUCAAAGGAUUUGAAGGGAGUUUAUUGUAGGUGAGUGUGACAAUCUGCAGCCUCACAUGCAUCAUUAGCUUCCCUUAUCCUGCAACAGGUAUUUUUCAUGUUUUGUAUCUUGCUAGGUUCAAUUAUUUCUUGGCUUAGAGCAGCGACGCAAGUAGAGAGAGAGAGAGAGAGAGAGAGAGAGAGGCCGUUUCCUAGACUGCAGCUCCUCCCAUCAUCUUGGCUUGCAGGUCGCCAUUGUGACAGAGCCGGACGGGAUCUCGGGCCAGCCUGACACCUAGCUUCCGGUCCAGUGUGUUGCCAAAUUAGCCCCCUAGCUAUAAAGGUUUCAAUACUUCAGCUCAUGCAUGUCAUCAUUUUGUUAAUGUGUCAAAGUAAAGAGAAAAUUGAUGCAUUGAAUUAUUAAUGAAGUGGUUUGGAUGCGAACUGAAAUCUUUCACUUUGAAGGCUGGAGAUUUUUAUGAACUGUGAGUAUUCAUAGAGAUAUUCAGUUUAUAUGAAGCAAAAGAAAGGCACAUAGUAUCUUUACAUUGACAAUGUGAUUUUUAACCCAUUGUGAUACUGAAAACCUGAUAAAGAAUAUAUUUUAUGACUGAAUGUUUGAUGUGGGCUGGAAGAAUUUCAGUUUUGUUUUGUACAUGAAUCUUCUAUGUAGUCAUGGUACUGAAUGUCCUGACAUAUACCAGUAUGUUCUGUUUAUCUCCUACAACUAGUGAAAUGGUCUGUAUGUAAAGUAUUUAUGUUUAGUUAUAUUAUGUUGCCGGCGAUGCGUGGUUCUGGAACAUGAAGAUUAACAUUGUAGCUUUUGGUAUCUUGAAUUCUUAUGCUUUGUUAUUAACUUGAUGUGAACCAGUUUUUUCUAUUUGGUAUUGCCAUUGGCUUGCUUUCAGUGUCGUAUAACUAAACUCUUUUGGUUGAACUGGACGUGGAUUAAUUGUCCUGCCUUGCUUUUGGAACAAAGUAAAUGUAUCUUCUUUUUCAUGAGCUUGCAGAUCAAUUAUUCUAUAGAUACUAAUACAUUCAUUAGUUCCGAACAAGUACUAUAAUUUCCGAUGUACCAAAUGAUUAACACUACAGUGAAAUCUUACACGCUGGACCAAUUCGAUGUUUCUUCUUUCUCUUAAACUAGAAAAAAUCAUUGUCCUGUUAAAUACGUAUGCUAAACCAGGUUUCCUACUAACACAUCAUAUCAUUUGAUCAUUACCUUCUUGACCACAUCGUUGGGACAUGCACAGGUUCAUGUAAAGUGGUGCCUAUGAAGAUCAUCAACAAGGCAGUUGAGUGGAGUCACUUGUUAGUAUGAAGUGGCGCCUAUGAUGCAGAGGCAGGGGCAAACCCCCUUUUUGAAAAGAAAAAAAAUGAUGUUGAUCGACAAGGCAGUUGAGUGAAGCCACUUAUUAGUAUGCUUAGUAGUUGUGGCUUUGUGGUUGUCUCUCCUUUGCUAUGUUCAUGCUCUUAUUACCCCCUCUCUUAUAUCCACACUUGUGGUAUUCGGGUGGCUAUCUUUUGUGGUCUUAUGAACACACUGAAACCAAUUCUACCUUAUAAUCUUAAGCUGAUACUGAGCCCAUGUCUUGCUUA